This 1322-nucleotide long non-coding RNA is filed under the name Cucumis sativus (cucumber). Its description in RNAcentral is "long non-coding RNA (CSAT_LNC001314)". Lineage: Eukaryota; Viridiplantae; Streptophyta; Magnoliopsida; Cucurbitales; Cucurbitaceae. The record is from RNAcentral.
GACAUAAGAAAGUCAUGAAGAAGACAGCCAAAAUAAUGGAUGAGGUGUUUGAUAAAUUCCUCAAAGAGCAUCGGGAGAGGAUAAAUAAUUUUGGUGAACUACCGGCGGCGGAAAAGGACUUCAUGGAUGUUAUGAUUUCUACAGUUGAAGACGAUGGACAACAUUUCAAUUGCCAUGUUGAUACUGUUAUUAAAGCUACAUGCUUGGUAAGCAAAAUAUAUUAGGGUAUGCAAGUCUGUCUUAUAGAUUAUAAUUGCUAUUUGCUAAUAAUGGAAGUCUAUUAACAAUAGUCUUAAUUCUAUCAACUUUAUACCAUUACCACCAACACAAUUAUAUUAUCGUGCUAUAUUUCACAUUUUAGAUUUAAUUAGCUUGAAAAUUGUUAUUAUGGAUUUAAUUAAAAACAUUUGUAAAUAUAGUAAAAUAAACAGAAAUAUUUGUAAAAUAUAGCUAAUUUUUUUAUUUUCAGUUAUAUUAGGUAAAUAUUUUCAACUAUUUUCGAUUUAGACUUUUAAAAUUAAAACUUAGGAAGUUUUUGUGAUUACAGUAGCUUAGAAAUUUUAACGUUAAUUUUAUAUCUAUGAUUUUGUAACAAAAGGGGCUUAAAGUAUGAAGAAAUUCAACGUAGAUUUAUGAGUAUUAGUUUGCAAUGUUGAAUGUUGAGAUCUAGAUUAUUUGGUUUUUCAAAAAAGUAUACAUUUCAUUUGUAAAAUGACAUAUUUAGUUAUGAUAUUAAUAAAUUUGGUAUGAUUCAUUUUAACGCAGAAUAUGAUAUUAGGUGGAUUUGACACAACAACAGUUACAAUGACAUGGGCUCUUUGUUUACUUCUCAACAAUAAAGAAGCACUCAAGAAGGCUCAAGUUGAAUUAGAUGAACAAGUUGGGAGAGAAAGACAAGUGAAAGAGACGGAUUUGAAAAAUCUACCAUAUCUCCAAGCUAUUGUUAAGGAAACUCUACGAUUGUAUCCUGCUGCACCACUGUUAGUCCCUCAUGAAUCUAUAGAAGAUUGCACAGUUGCUGGCUAUCACAUACCUAAAGGAACACGCCUCAUAGUUAAUGUUCAAAAACUUCAAAGAGAUCCACUUGUUUGGGAGGAUCCAUUUGAAUUUCGACCAGAAAGAUUUUUAACAAGUCAAAAGAAUUUUGAUGUUAGAGGACAAAAUCCCCAAUUCAUACCGUUUGGAAAUGGUCGAAGGAUGUGCCCUGCAAUCUCAUUUGCACUUCAAAUAAUCUAUCUUACACUCUCAAACUUUCUUCAUGGGUUUGAAAUUGAUAGACCAUCAGAAGAACUACUUGACAUGGAAGAGAGUAUUGGAUUGAC